UGGGGAAUUUUGGACAAUGGGGGCAACCCUGAUCCAGCCAUCCCGCGUGUGCGAUGAAGGCCUUCGGGUUGUAAAGCACUUUUGGCAGGAAAGAAACGGCGCUGGUUAAUACCUGGCGCAACUGACGGUACCUGCAGAAUAAGCACCGGCUAACUACGUGCCAGCAGCCGCGGUAAUACGUAGGGUGCAAGCGUUAAUCGGAAUUACUGGGCGUAAAGCGUGCGCAGGCGGUUCGGAAAGAAAGAUGUGAAAUCCCAGGGCUUAACCUUGGAACUGCAUUUUUAACUACCGGGCUAGAGUGUGUCAGAGGGAGGUGGAAUUCCGCGUGUAGCAGUGAAAUGCGUAGAUAUGCGGAGGAACACCGAUGGCGAAGGCAGCCUCCUGGGAUAACACUGACGCUCAUGCACGAAAGCGUGGGGAGCAAACAGG
This 429-nucleotide ribosomal RNA is filed under the name uncultured prokaryote. RNAcentral's name for it is "bacterial SSU rRNA". It matches the Rfam family "Bacterial small subunit ribosomal RNA", at positions 355 to 776 of the family's 1533-position model. RNAcentral also lists the same sequence under 1 other name. The record is from RNAcentral.